Molecule: long non-coding RNA, 928 nt
Organism: Carya illinoinensis
Lineage: Eukaryota; Viridiplantae; Streptophyta; Magnoliopsida; Fagales; Juglandaceae
Exons: 2
Source: RefSeq, a predicted model, not a curated record
UUGAGAUUAGAUUUUAGGAAAAUGUGUUGAUGAAGAAAUUAAUGAGUCAGCUUGGACAGACAUUGUACUACCUCACGAUCAUGGCAUCUUUUUAAUUUCUUCUUGUUUUUCCCUACGUUUUUUCUUUUAAAAUCCUAAACAUGGCUGGCAUCUGAUCUUAAAUUAGUCAAUUGCUAGGUCUUCAUUUUUUAUUCAUACAAAAUAAAUUUUCUAUCUUAUCUACCAAACUAAAGGUAGCCUUUUAUAUUUAAUUUGAUACCACUACUCGAUGUUGGCCUGCUCGAUCUGACUGUACGUGCGUGUUAGCAACUGAAGAAAUUUCGAACCACAUGCACACACUAAUUACACAUGAUGCACUUGAAUGGUAGUCUAUAAAUAGGAGUGUAGAUAGGAGGAAAAUGGCCACUCAGCACAAAUCAUUAAUCAGCAAUCAACAAAAUGAAGGCUAUUAUUCUUAUUUUCAUUCUCUUUGCUUCCCUGCUUAUCUUAUCUCCUACAAUUGCAGCUCGCGAACUGGCUGAAAGUGUUAAUGCAGGUUCUGGUGGCCGAACCGGGGAUCCCGACAAGCCUACACCAUGCGGAAAGCCUAACAAUCCCGCAUAUGCCAAAUGCAUGGGGUCGAAGUCGAAACCGAAACCGAAGCCCACCAAAUGUAAUACGGGUCCAUACAAGAGGUGCCAACCACCGAAAUGAACUUGAAUAUGUACUUACUUGUGACUUGUCAUGGCGUUUCUCAUGAGAAUUAGAAAGUAUGUACCACGUAUGGUAGUUGAGAAUAAAAAUAGAGUUUGGUUUGAUAUCAUAAGAAUUAAAGCUGUUUGAGCUCGCUCCAACUCUGCAGUGUGGAGAUAUGUAAAAUCAUGUUACUGUAUUAUAUUUCUCGUUUUGAUAUGAUGUACGUGUGCCAAUAAUAAAAGAGCUUACUUAA